UCUCCGUUGGUGAACCAGCGGAGGGAUCAUUACCGAGUUUACAACUCCCAAACCCAAUGUGAACCAUACCAAACUGUUGCCUCGGCGGGGUCACGCCCCGGGUGCGUCGCAGCCCCGGAACCAGGCGCCCGCCGGAGGGACCAACCAAACUCUUUCUGUAGUCCCCUCGCGGACGUUAUUUUUACAGCUCUGAGCAAAAAUUCAAAAUGAAUCAAAACUUCCAACAACGGAUCUCUUGGUUCUG
RNAcentral lists this unclassified non-coding RNA (244 nucleotides) under plant metagenome. RNAcentral describes it as "partial contains small subunit ribosomal RNA, internal transcribed spacer 1, and 5.8S ribosomal RNA". The record is from RNAcentral.